RNAcentral lists this ribosomal RNA (563 nucleotides) under uncultured crenarchaeote. RNAcentral's name for it is "bacterial SSU rRNA". It matches the Rfam family "Archaeal small subunit ribosomal RNA", at positions 326 to 879 of the family's 1478-position model. The record is from RNAcentral. Lineage: Archaea; Thermoproteati; Thermoproteota.
CGGGGUGCAGCAGGCGCCGAAACCUCCUGCAAUAGGCGAAAGCCUGACAGGGUUACUCUGAGUGAUGCCCGCUAAGGGUAUCUUUCUGGCACCUCUAAAAAUGGUGCAGAAUAAGGGGUGGGCAAGUCUGGUGUCAGCCGCCGCGGUAAUACCAGCACCCCGAGUUGUCGGGACGAUUAUUGGGCCUAAAGCAUCCGUAGCCUGUUCUGCAAGUCCUCCGUUAAAUCCACCUGCUCAACGGAUGGGCUGCGGAGGAUACCGCAGAGCUAGGAGGCGGGAGAGGCAAACGGUACUCAGUGGGUAGGGGUAAAAUCCAUUGAUCUACUGAAGACCACCAGUGGCGAAGGCGGUUUGCCAGAACGCGCUCGACGGUGAGGGAUGAAAGCUGGGGGAGCAAACCGGAUUAGAUACCCGGGUAGUCCCAGCUGUAAACGAUGCAGCUCGGUGUAGUAGGGGUUUGCCUUCGAAGCCAACCAAGUGCCGCAGGGAAGCCGUUAAAGUCUGCCGCCUGGGGGAGUACGGUCGCAAAGACUGAAACUUAAAAGGAAUUGGCGGGGGAGCAC